GCGCGGGUGGCGGAAUUGGUAGACGCACUGGAUUUAGGUUCCAGCGCCGCAAGGUGUGCGAGUUCGAGUCUCGCCCCGCGCACCA
This 85-nucleotide transfer RNA is filed under the name Zoogloeaceae bacterium. RNAcentral describes it as "tRNA-Leu". It matches the Rfam family "tRNA". Rfam says of the family: Transfer RNA (tRNA) molecules are approximately 80 nucleotides in length. Their secondary structure includes four short double-helical elements and three loops (D, anti-codon, and T loops). Further hydrogen bonds mediate the characteristic L-shaped molecular structure. tRNAs have two regions of fundamental functional importance: the anti-codon, which is responsible for specific mRNA codon recognition, and the 3' end, to which the tRNAs corresponding amino acid is attached (by aminoacyl-tRNA synthetases). tRNAs cope with the degeneracy of the genetic code in two manners: having more than one tRNA (with a specific anti-codon) for a particular amino acid; and 'wobble' base-pairing, i.e. permitting non-standard base-pairing at the 3rd anti-codon position. The record is from RNAcentral. Lineage: Bacteria; Pseudomonadati; Pseudomonadota; Betaproteobacteria; Rhodocyclales; Zoogloeaceae.